GACGAACGCUGGCGGCGUGCUUAACACAUGCAAGUCGAACGAUGAAGCGGGUGCUUGCACUCGUGGAUUAGUGGCGAACGGGCGAGUAACACGUGAGUAACCUGUCCUUUUCUUUGGGAUAACGGCUGGAAACGGCUGCUAAUACUGGAUAUUCAGGCUGCAUCGCAUGGUGUGGUUUGGAAAGGUUUUUUCUGGGAUUGGGUGGGCUCGCGGCCUAUCAGCUUGUUGGUGGGGUGAUGGCUUACCAAGGCUUUGACGGGUAGCCGGCCUGAGAGGGUGGGCGGUCGCACUGGGACUGAGAUACGGCCCAGACUCCUACGGGAGGCAGCAGUGGGGAAUAUUGCACUAUGGACGAAAGUUUGAUGCAGCGACGCCGCGUGGAGGGUGUAGGCCUUCGGGUUGUGAACUCCUUUUUCUCGCGAAAAAGGCACAGUUUUGGCUGUGUUGAUGGUAGUGGGGGAAGAAGCGCCGGCUAACUACGUG
Molecule: ribosomal RNA, 483 nt
Filed under: uncultured bacterium
Lineage: Bacteria
Description: partial 16S ribosomal RNA
Rfam family: Bacterial small subunit ribosomal RNA
Source: RNAcentral